This 688-nucleotide ribosomal RNA is filed under the name uncultured Escherichia sp. RNAcentral describes it as "bacterial SSU rRNA". It matches the Rfam family "Bacterial small subunit ribosomal RNA", at positions 87 to 770 of the family's 1533-position model. The record is from RNAcentral. Lineage: Bacteria; Pseudomonadati; Pseudomonadota; Gammaproteobacteria; Enterobacterales; Enterobacteriaceae.
GCUGACGAGUGGCGGACGGGUGAGUAAUGUCUGGGAAACUGCCUGAUGGAGGGGGAUAACUACUGGAAACGGUAGCUAAUACCGCAUAACGUCGCAAGACCAAAAAGGGGGACCUUCGGGCCUCUUGCCAUCGGAUGUGCCCAGAUGGGAUUAGCUAGUAGGUGGGGUAACGGCUCACCUAGGCGACGAUCCCUAGCUGGUCUGAGAGGAUGACCAGCCACACUGGAACUGAGACACGGUCCAGACUCCUACGGGAGGCAGCAGUGGGGAAUAUUGCACAAUGGGCGCAAGCCUGAAUGCAGCCAUGCCGCGUGUAUGAAGAAGGCCUUCGGGUUGUAAAGUACUUUCAGCGGGGAGGAAGGGAGUAAAGUUAAUACCUUUGCUCAUUGACGUUACCCGCAGAAGAAGCACCGGCUAACUCCGUGCCAGCAGCCGCGGUAAUACGGAGGGUGCAAGCGUUAAUCGGAAUUACUGGGCGUAAAGCGCACGCAGGCGGUUUGUUAAGUCAGAUGUGAAAUCCCCGGGCUCAACCUGGGAACUGCAUCUGAUACUGGCAAGCUUGAGUCUCGUAGAGGGGGGUAGAAUUCCAGGUGUAGCGGUGAAAUGCGUAGAGAUCUGGAGGAAUACAGGUGGCGAAGGCGGCCCCCUGGACGAAGACUGACGCUCAGGUGCGAAAGCGUGGGGAGCA